Molecule: ribosomal RNA, 164 nt
Filed under: Amphoricarpos exsul
Lineage: Eukaryota; Viridiplantae; Streptophyta; Magnoliopsida; Asterales; Asteraceae
Also listed under: 1 other name
Description: 5.8S ribosomal RNA
Rfam family: 5.8S ribosomal RNA
About the family: 5.8S ribosomal RNA (5.8S rRNA) is a component of the large subunit of the eukaryotic ribosome. It is transcribed by RNA polymerase I as part of the 45S precursor that also contains 18S and 28S rRNA. Functionally, it is thought that 5.8S rRNA may be involved in ribosome translocation.
Source: RNAcentral
AAACGACUCUCGGCAACGGAUAUCUCGGCUCCCGCAUCGAUGAAGAACGUAGCAAAAUGCGAUACUUGGUGUGAAUUGCAGAAUCCCGUGAACCAUCGAGUUUUUGAACGCAAGUUGCGCCCGAAGCCAUUCGGCCGAGGGCACGUCUGCCUGGGCGUCACGCA